GCAAGUCGAGCGGAUGAAGGGAGCAUGCUCCUGGAUUCAGCGGCGGACGGGUGAGUAAUGCUUAGGAAUCUGCCUGGUAGUGGGGGAUAACGUCCGGAAACGGGUGCUAAUACCGCAUACGUCCUGCGGGAGAAAGUGGGGGAUCUUCGGACCUCACGCUAUCAGAUGAGCCUAGGUCGGAUUAGCUAGUUGGUAGGGUAAAGGCUUACCAAGGCGACGAUCCGUAGCUGGUCUGAGAGGAUGAUC
RNAcentral lists this ribosomal RNA (246 nucleotides) under uncultured bacterium. RNAcentral describes it as "partial 16S ribosomal RNA". It matches the Rfam family "Bacterial small subunit ribosomal RNA", at positions 57 to 305 of the family's 1533-position model. The record is from RNAcentral.